UAUACAGAAUGGUGCUCAAAAGAAAGCAAUGUGAUAUGGAUUCCAUACCAUUAUCCACAUUAACGUAGCAACCCUCUGGUCCUAAGAAAUAUGUUCAUCUCACAUGCUAUGGAAGACACUAGUGGUCCUGAGUUGUGUCUUUUGUAUAUCCUGUGAUGUCAGAUGGGGAAAAAGAAGCCCAGAGCAGGUAAAUGAAUUGCCCCAAAAGCAUGAGGGAAGAGUCCAUUACAGCCAACUCUUACAGUGGGAAGUGAGACAGACGGGCAUGUUACGGACACUCAUUUCCUGGCUUAGGCAACUUCACUCUUUAAUUAGAGGAGCCAGGAAAAAAGCCACAGAGCUGCUCUGCGCUGAGGAGAGCACAAGUUGCUAGAGCCUCUGGGGUACAUAAGGCUAUUAAGGAAACCAAGGUACCUGCAAUAAGUCUAUUUAUGCAUGGAUAAUGCUCUUUACUUCUAAAUAUCCAAUAACAGAUGUCCUAAGAACCUAAACUGA
Long non-coding RNA from Neopsephotus bourkii (Bourke's parrot), 495 nucleotides. RefSeq lists it as uncharacterized. The record is from RefSeq and is a predicted model, not a curated record. The transcript is spliced from 3 exons. Lineage: Eukaryota; Metazoa; Chordata; Aves; Psittaciformes; Psittacidae.